GAUGAACGCUAGCGGCAGGCUUAACACAUGCAAGUCGAGGGGCAGCGCGAUGUAGCAAUACAUUGGCGGCGACCGGCGCACGGGUGCGUAACACGUAUGGAAUCUGCCCUGUACUGGAAGAUAACCCGGCGAAAGUCGGACUAAUAUCCCAUAAUAGCCGAGGUGGCAUCACCUUGGUUUGAAAGCUCCGGCGGCACAGGAUGACCAUGCGCACGAUUAGCUAGUUGGUGAGGUAACGGCUCACCAAGGCUACGAUCGUUAGGGGGCCUGAGAGGGUUAUCCCCCACACUGGUACUGAGACACGGACCAGACUCCUACGGGAGGCAGCAGUGAGGAAUAUUGCGCAAUGGAGGCAACUCUGACGCAGCCAUGCCGCGUGCAGGAAGAAGGCGCUACGCGUUGUAACCUGCUUUUAUCCGGGAAGAAACCCCAGGACGUGUCCUGGGUUGACGGUACCGGAGGAAUAAGCACCGGCUAACUUCGUGCCAG
This 489-nucleotide ribosomal RNA is filed under the name uncultured bacterium. RNAcentral describes it as "bacterial SSU rRNA". It matches the Rfam family "Bacterial small subunit ribosomal RNA", at positions 28 to 511 of the family's 1533-position model. The record is from RNAcentral.